Molecule: long non-coding RNA, 513 nt
Filed under: Trifolium pratense (red clover)
Lineage: Eukaryota; Viridiplantae; Streptophyta; Magnoliopsida; Fabales; Fabaceae
Description: long non-coding RNA (TPRA_LNC013088)
Source: RNAcentral
UUAAUAAACAAUUGGAAGGACUAAAAAUUUAAUUUAAGUGUGCAGGACUUAGAUUCAAUUAAACUCUGAUUAAAGAUCAGAAGAUAAGGAGUUCAGAAGUUUGCAAGCGUUCAGAAGAUCUUGUAACUCAGAAGUUGUACUCUUCAGACGAUGAAGUCUUCAGAACUUCUUAAGGUCUUAGCUUCAUGAAACUCUGAUGAUCUUCUUGAAGUUUGUAAAGAUUCUCUUUUGCAAGUCAACUUUUCUACCAAUGAAGAAAAGGACCUUUCAAGCCUGAUCAGAACAGCUAAUCUCUUUCUGUCUGUCCUCUUUUGAGAACGUGGGUCGUCAGUUGUGUUAGCUGAAUAAGGAAAGUCUUUUCUGCAGCAGUCAAAGUACCUGAAACUCUUACUCAGUUUUAGAUACAACCAAACUGCAUCAAGACAGGCUGCUUGAAGACAAAAGGUUAUCUACUUCAACGAUCUUCUUUGCAACGACUCUUUUCUAGUCAUAUAUAUACUAAAGGAAUCAGUU